GAUCCUGGCUCAGGAUGAACGCUAGCUACAGGCUUAACACAUGCAAGUCGAGGGGAAGGCGAUAUUGGAAGCUUGCUUCCGACAGGCGUCGACCGGCGCACGGGUGAGUAACACGUAUCCAACCUUCCCGUUACUCUGGAAUAGCCUUUCGAAAGAAAGAUUAAUACCGGAUAGUAUCGAGAGACUUGCUAUGAAUUACCCGAUUAAAGAUUCAGUCGGUAACGGAUGGGGAUGCGUUCCAUUAGGGCACG
This 251-nucleotide ribosomal RNA is filed under the name uncultured bacterium. Its description in RNAcentral is "partial 16S ribosomal RNA". It matches the Rfam family "Bacterial small subunit ribosomal RNA", at positions 15 to 250 of the family's 1533-position model. The record is from RNAcentral.